RNAcentral lists this ribosomal RNA (352 nucleotides) under uncultured bacterium. RNAcentral's name for it is "bacterial SSU rRNA". It matches the Rfam family "Bacterial small subunit ribosomal RNA", at positions 527 to 881 of the family's 1533-position model. The record is from RNAcentral.
GUAUGGUGCAAGCGUUAUCCGGAUNUACUGGGUGUAAAGGGAGCGCAGGCGGUGCGGCAAGUCUGAUGUGAAAGCCCGGGGCUCAACCCCGGUACUGCAUUGGAAACUGUCGUACUAGAGUGUCGGAGGGGUAAGUGGAAUUCCUAGUGUAGCGGUGAAAUGCGUAGAUAUUAGGAGGAACACCAGUGGCGAAGGCGGCUUACUGGACGAUAACUGACGCUGAGGCUCGAAAGUGUGGGUAUCAAACAGGAUUAGAUACCCUGGUAGUCCACACGGUAAACGAUGAAUACUCGCUGUUUGCGAUAUACAGCAAGCGGCCAAGCGAAAGCGUUAAGUAUUCCACCUGGGGAGU